CAAAUUGCUAUGAUGGGAAGGAGUAGGAAGGCUUACCUUAAAGAGAGCUGCUGCCUUAGGCUGAAAGCAGUGGCAGGGAAUCUUCUGAAGGGUGCGCCCCGGAGCUUUUCUGCCGAAAAGGGUAGGCAGAGACGGUAAUACCGUUAUAAUUCUAAGUGAGGCUUUGCCUAAAUAGAGUGGAACCGCGGAGUCCCCUUCGUCUCUAUG
RNAcentral lists this non-coding RNA (207 nucleotides) under Caloramator australicus. RNAcentral's name for it is "T-box sequence". It matches the Rfam family "T-box leader". Rfam says of the family: Uncharged tRNA acts as the effector for transcription antitermination of genes in the T-box leader family. T-boxes are found upstream of many aminoacyl-tRNA synthetase genes and some amino acid biosynthetic genes usually in Gram-positive bacteria. The anticodon of a specific tRNA base pairs to a specifier sequence within the T-box motif, and the NCCA acceptor tail of the tRNA base pairs to a conserved bulge in the T-box antiterminator hairpin. Lineage: Bacteria; Bacillati; Bacillota; Clostridia; Eubacteriales; Clostridiaceae. The record is from RNAcentral.